UUCAAAUAAGAGAUGGCAGGCAAGUCUUCUCAAUUGUUCUACAUAUUUUGAUUCAUAAUAACUAU
RNAcentral lists this small RNA (65 nucleotides) under Arabidopsis thaliana (thale cress). RNAcentral describes it as "ATSL259950". The record is from RNAcentral. Lineage: Eukaryota; Viridiplantae; Streptophyta; Magnoliopsida; Brassicales; Brassicaceae.